Molecule: transfer RNA, 72 nt
Filed under: Heterocephalus glaber (naked mole-rat)
Lineage: Eukaryota; Metazoa; Chordata; Mammalia; Rodentia; Bathyergidae
Rfam family: tRNA
About the family: Transfer RNA (tRNA) molecules are approximately 80 nucleotides in length. Their secondary structure includes four short double-helical elements and three loops (D, anti-codon, and T loops).
Source: Rfam by way of RNAcentral
AGAGGUGUAGCUCAGUGGUAGAGCACUUGCCUAGCAUGCAGAAGGCCCUGGGCUCAAUCCCCAGCAAUACAA